RNAcentral lists this non-coding RNA (27 nucleotides) under Homo sapiens (human). Lineage: Eukaryota; Metazoa; Chordata; Mammalia; Primates; Hominidae. The record is from RNAcentral.
UGCCACAACUUGUCCUGCAGGCUCCCC